AUGGCGGCGGCCCUGGUGCGAGCCCUACGCGGACGGCGCGGGCCGGCGGCGGCGGCCAUGGCGCUCGGCCGCCGCGGCGGGCUGGGCGGUGCCGACGCUUCCCCUUCACCUCUGCUGCCGAUGAGGCGUUCCCUCGCCAGCGGCAACGGCGCCGGGGGGACGGGUGCUGGCGGCCACGGCGCGGGCACGGGGGCGGUCUCCUCGGGGUGCACCGGCAUGGGUGCCGAAGCACAAUGGCAUUGCAAGGGGGCGGGCGGAGGCGUCGUGGCCAACUCCGGCGGGGACGCAGGGGAAGAAUUACUAACCUCUCCUUCCACUUCCUCUUCUCCAGGCACUUUGCCCUCCCGCUCCGGCAAAGCAUUGGCCUUUUUUGUUUUUCUCGCGCCUUGCCGCUGGAUUGACCUUCUUUGUCGCAGGGCGACGGAGAUCCACCGUCUACGCAAGGACCUGUUUGAAGAAACCAGGCGUCUCUGGGACGGCUACCACAAGCAUUGUGAUGCAGAUAGAAAACUUUUCGAAGAGCUCGCCCAUUUAGAGAUGGAGAAUGCGAUGAACAUGGUUAACGCCAAGGAGAAUCUGGUGUCUACAACCUACAAGGUGCUGGGCUGCGCGGCGCUGUUCAUCAUCGGCGUCGCAACAUUGAUGGGGCCCUACAUCCACAGUUCUAUGGUGCACGACACCGUCAUUGAAGUUGAGCAGAGGCUCAAAGGUAAAAAGGUUGCUGACAAGACCUAG
This 735-nucleotide ribosomal RNA is filed under the name Triticum aestivum (bread wheat). RNAcentral's name for it is "partial small subunit ribosomal RNA". The record is from RNAcentral. Lineage: Eukaryota; Viridiplantae; Streptophyta; Magnoliopsida; Poales; Poaceae.